Ziziphus jujuba (common jujube) is the source of this 1599-nucleotide RNA transcript. RefSeq lists it as uncharacterized. NCBI's taxonomy places the organism in Eukaryota, Viridiplantae, Streptophyta, Magnoliopsida, Rosales, Rhamnaceae. The record is from RefSeq and is a predicted model, not a curated record. The transcript has 7 exons.
CUGUGAAGGUGAGCGUAAAGUCGUAUAGAAAAAACAGAGACAUAGAACAAGCAUAAAGAGGAGAGUGUGAUAGAGGGUGAAAGCCUCAAAUGAAGCUCAGAAAAUGGCACUAAUGGCUUCUUCCAGAACGAAGCUCUCUAGGCUUCUGACCAUAUUUACCGAGAAAGCACAGAAUUUGAAAUCUGGGUCUUGCUUCCAUGGCGUUAGCGGGAGGUUUGGGGCCAACCCAAAUGCAGGCUUGCAAGGGGCAUUGUUCUAUUCGUCCUCUGCUCUGGCCUCUAAGGAGUCUGAGGUAAUUGGGUCCAGGCGCAUGGGAUGGGAAAUUCUGGGUGUGAAAGAUUAUGAGGAUUAUCGGAGGUCCUUGUAUGGUGAAAUCACUCACAAGGCUUUGCUGGUUGAUGCUGUUGGCACUCUUGUUGUUCCCUCUCAGCCCAUGGCUCAGAUAUAUAGGCAGAUUGGGGAGAAAUAUGGGGUGGAGUAUUCAGAGGCUGAGAUUUUGAACAGAUACAGAAGGGCUUAUGAGCAGCCUUGGGGUAGAUCCCGUCUCAGAUAUGUAAAUGAUGGGAGACCCUUCUGGCAAUAUAUAGUCAGUUCUUCAACUGGUUGUUCAGAUUCUCAGUACUUUGAAGAACUUUAUAACUACUAUACCACUGACAAGGCUUGGCACCUCUGUGAUCCUGAAGCUGAGCAUGUAUUUAAAGCACUAAGAAAAGCAGGUGUAAAACUGGCUGUUGUAUCAAAUUUUGACACCAGAUUAAGACCUCUGUUGCGGGCUUUAAAUUGUGACCAUUGGUUUGAUGCUGUUGCGGUCUCAGCUGAAGUUGCAGCAGAAAAACCAAAUCCAACGAUAUUUCUAAAAGCUUGUGACUUAGUGGGGGUAAAACCGGAGGAUGCUGUGCAUGUGGGUGAUGAUCGAAGGAAUGAUAUAUGGGGUGCCAGAGAUGCGGGUUGUGAUGCUUGGCUUUGGGGAAGUGAUGUUCACUCCUUUAAGGAGAUCUCUGCGAUGCUGUGCACACUGAAGCAAAAGUUGAUCUGGAUUCAACCUUAACAAAGAUCUAUUGUGUUGCACAUCUCCCUAUCUCUCAGCCUUUAUCGUUAUACAAGAAAGAAAUAAAGGACAGAGGGAUAGAGAUUAUAUCAAUUUUGUGGGAAGAGGGAAUGGGCUUAAAAGUCUCCAUGAAAAACUGAACAAUCAAAGGCCGUUUGAGUUUGUGAAAAUAUGCUUUUAACUAAAACUGGAAACUGGUUUAUAGAUAAGGCAUCUAAGUAGAGUUGAGAGACCAAGUGUGCGUAACUGCAAGAUCCAUAAUCUGAGAGAGUGGUUGCUCAGAGCAUCGGGGUUCAGGUUUGAAAGAUUAUAGAUAAUGUUAGAAGCAACAAGUUGAAGGCUGCUAAUAGAUGUACAUACACUUUUUAGUAUAAUGUAAGAGUUUGAUGUAUAAAUUCUGCUUUCUUAUGAGGCAAGAACACUUUAUGUGAAGAGAUCUGUCGACAUACCAUUAAAUGCUGGAGAAGGCAUCUGUUUUGUUGCCCAUAAAGCACCUUUAAAUUGUUGCCUCAAUUUUACCAAAAAACAAAUGAAGUGUUGCUUCGCUUAAA